Molecule: transfer RNA, 85 nt
Filed under: Patescibacteria group bacterium
Lineage: Bacteria
Description: tRNA-Ser
Rfam family: tRNA
About the family: Transfer RNA (tRNA) molecules are approximately 80 nucleotides in length. Their secondary structure includes four short double-helical elements and three loops (D, anti-codon, and T loops).
Source: RNAcentral
GGAGAGGUCGCAUAGAGGCCUAGUGCGCGCGCUUGGAAAGCGCGUAUACCGCAAGGUAUCGAGGGUUCGAAUCCCUCCCUCUCCG